Molecule: ribosomal RNA, 449 nt
Filed under: uncultured bacterium
Lineage: Bacteria
Description: bacterial SSU rRNA
Rfam family: Bacterial small subunit ribosomal RNA
Source: RNAcentral
AACGAACGCUGGCGGCAGGCUUAACACAUGCAAGUCGAACGGGCGUAGCAAUACGUCAGUGGCAGACGGGUGAGUAACACGUGGGAACCUUCCUAGGGGUACGGAACAACUCAGGGAAACUUGAGCUAAUACCGUAUACGUCCGUGAGGAGAAAGAUUUAUCGCCCUUAGACGGGCCCGCGUCGGAUUAGGUAGUUGGUGGGGUAACGGCCUACCAAGCCUACGAUCCGUAGCUGAUCUGAGAGGANGAUCAGCCACACUGGGACUGAGACACGGCCCAGACUCCUACGGGAGGCAGCAGUGGGGAAUCUUGGACAAUGGGCGCAAGCCUGAUCCAGCCAUGCCGCGUGAGUGAAGAAGGCCUUAGGGUUGUAAAGCUCUUUUACCAGGGACGAUAAUGACGGUACCUGGAGAAUAAGCCCCGGCAAACUUCGUGCCAGCAGCCGCCGU